RNAcentral lists this ribosomal RNA (278 nucleotides) under uncultured Staphylococcus sp. Its description in RNAcentral is "partial 16S ribosomal RNA". It matches the Rfam family "Bacterial small subunit ribosomal RNA", at positions 83 to 354 of the family's 1533-position model. The record is from RNAcentral. Lineage: Bacteria; Bacillati; Bacillota; Bacilli; Caryophanales; Staphylococcaceae.
CCUUUGACGUUAGCGGCGGACGGGUGAGUAACACGUGGGUAACCUACCUAUAAGACUGGGAUAACUUCGGGAAACCGGAGCUAAUACCGGAUAAUAUUUCGAACCGCAUGGUUCGAUAGUGAAAGAUGGUUUUGCUAUCACUUAUAGAUGGACCCGCGCCGUAUUAGCUAGUUGGUAAGGUAACGGCUUACCAAGGCGACGAUACGUAGCCGACCUGAGAGGGUGAUCGGCACACUGGAACUGAGACACGGUCCAGACUCCUACGGGAGGCAGCAGGG